CGACGCCGCGUGAGGGAGGAAGGCCUUCGGGUUGUAAACUCUUUUGACGAGGAAGAACACAAUGACGGUACUCGUCGAAUAAGCCCCGGCUAACUCCGUGC
This 101-nucleotide ribosomal RNA is filed under the name uncultured bacterium. Its description in RNAcentral is "partial 16S ribosomal RNA". It matches the Rfam family "Bacterial small subunit ribosomal RNA", at positions 392 to 508 of the family's 1533-position model. The record is from RNAcentral.